UGGGAAAGCUGGCGUACCUCCUGCACCUGCGAUUUCACCAGCUGGAUGUGGCUCCUGGCCGUUAUGGAGGCCUGGUCCGCACCUGCCGGAAGAUGGGCCAUUUAUGCUGAGUGGACACAAGGAAAGCCUGGGGGCUCUUUGUGGUUGUACCUGAGCCUCCCCGCAGAGUAGAGAACCUUCUACCUCCAUAUUCAGGGUUGCAGAUAUCCUUCCUCUGGGGCUUAUCUUAUGGCUCAGAAGGUAAAGAAUCUGCCUGCAAUGCAAGAGACCAACGGGUUUGAUCCCUGGAUUGGGAAAAUCCCCUGGAGAAGAAGGGCUUCCCACUCCAGCAUUCUUGCCUGGAGAAUUCCGUGGACAGAGGAGCCUGGUGGGUUACAGUCCACGGAGUCGCAGAGAGUUGGACACAACUGAAAAACUAACACACUCAAGCAUAUACUUCCUUUCAAUUCAGACAGACAAAGAGAACAAAAUGCAGAUGGAAAACUCAGAAGGCUGAGAAUAAAGCUGCUGGAAAAUGAAGGGUUCCUGGACAGUGAGGCCAACCACAGCCCCUUCCCUGCAGCUAAGUGUCUCAUCUGCAUGGACCCUACAUUACAUGAGGAUCAGCAAAACUAAUUUAAAAAGAUAUAUGCACCCCUAUGUCUACAGCAGCCCUACUUACA
Long non-coding RNA from Bubalus bubalis (water buffalo), 662 nucleotides. RefSeq lists it as uncharacterized. Lineage: Eukaryota; Metazoa; Chordata; Mammalia; Artiodactyla; Bovidae. The record is from RefSeq and is a predicted model, not a curated record. The transcript is spliced from 4 exons.